UGAAUACGAGACGCUAAGGCGUCGAAGUAGUGUAUGUCAUACUUCCAAGAAAAGCUUGCACUGUCAUAAGUAAAAAAUGCCUGUACCAUAACCGACACAGGUGGGUAGGUAGAGUAUACUAAGGGGCGCGAGAUAACUCUCUCUAAGGAACUCGGCAAAAUAACUCCGUAACUUCGGGAGAAGGAGUACCUUAUUCUAUAAGGUUGCAAUAACAAGAUCCAAGCAACUGUUUAUCAAAAACACAGGUCUCCGCUAAGUCGUAAGACGAUGUAUGGGGGCUGACGCCUGCCCAGUGCCGGAAGGUUAAAGAAGUCGGUUAGCAUUAGCGAAGCUGGUAACUGAAGCCCUGGUGAACGGCGGCCGUAACGAUAACGGUCCUAAGGUAGCGAAAUUCCUUGUCGGGUAAGUUCCAACCCGCACGAAAGGCGUAAUGAUUUGGAUACUGUCUCGGAGAGGGGCUCGGUGAAAUAGACUUGUCUGUGAAGAUGCGGACUACCUGCACCAGGACAGAAAGACCCUAUGAAGCUUUACUGUAACUUGAAAUUGAAAUUGGACUUUAUUCGCGCAGUAUAGGUGGGAGGUGUUGAUUAUAAUCUUGCGGGAUUAUUGGAGCCAUCAGUGAGAUACCACUCUUGUAAUGUUAGAUUUCUAACUUUGAAUCAUUAUCUGGUCAAAGGACAGUUUCAGGCGGGCAGUUUGACUGGGGCGGUCGCCUCCCAAACGGUAACGGAGGCGUACAAAGGUUUCCUCUGAACGGGUAGAAAUCGUAUCUAGAGUGUAAAGGCAUAAGGAAGCUUGACUGUGAGACCUACAAGUCGAACAGGGACGAAAGUCGGUCUUAGUGAUCUGACGGUACUGAGUGGAAAGGCCGUCACUCAACGGAUAAAAGUUACUCUAGGAUAACAGGCUGAUCUCCCCCAAGAGUUCACAUCGACGGGGAGGUUUGGCACCUCGAUGUCGGCUCAUCGCAUCCUGGGGCGGUAGUACGUCCCAAGGGUUGGGCUGUUCGCCCAUGAAAGCGGUACGCGAGCUGGGUUCAGAACGUCGUGAGACAGUUCGGUCCAUAUCCGGUGUAGGCGUUAGAAUAUUGAGAGGAGCCUUCUUUAGUACGAGAGGACCGAGAAGGACAUACCUCUGGUGUACCAGUUAUCGUGCCAACGGUAAACGCUGGGUAGCUAUGUAUGGAGUGGAUGACCGCUGAAAGCAUCUAAGUGGGAAGCCCACCUCAAGAUAAGUAUUC
This 1240-nucleotide ribosomal RNA is filed under the name metagenome. Its description in RNAcentral is "bacterial LSU rRNA". It matches the Rfam family "Bacterial large subunit ribosomal RNA", at positions 1564 to 2813 of the family's 2925-position model. The record is from RNAcentral.